GACGAACGCUGGCGGCGUGCCUAAUACAUGCAAGUUGAGCGCUGAAGGUUGGUACUUGUACCAACUGGAUGAGCAGCGAACGGGUGAGUAACGCGUGGGGAAUCCGCCUUUGAGCGGGGGACAACAUUUGGAAACGAAUGCUAAUACCGCAUAAAAACUUUAAACACAAGUUUUAAGUUUGAAAGAUGCAAUUGCAUCACUCAAAGAUGAUCCCGCGUUGUAUUAGCUAGUUGGUGAGGUAAAGGCUCACCAAGGCGAUGAUACAUAGCCGACCUGAGAGGGUGAUCGGCCACAUUGGGACUGAGACACGGCCCAAACUCCUACGGGAGGCAGCAGUUGGGAAUCUUCGGCAAUGGACGAAAGUCUGACCGAGCAACGCCGCGUGAGUGAAGAAGGUUUUCGGAUCGUAAAACUCUGUUGGUAGAGAAGAACGUUGGUGAGAGUGGAAAGCUCAUCAAGUGACGGUAACUACCCAGAAAGGGACGGCUAACUACGUG
This 497-nucleotide ribosomal RNA is filed under the name uncultured bacterium. RNAcentral's name for it is "partial 16S ribosomal RNA". It matches the Rfam family "Bacterial small subunit ribosomal RNA", at positions 28 to 507 of the family's 1533-position model. The record is from RNAcentral.